Drosophila sechellia is the source of this 336-nucleotide long non-coding RNA. RefSeq lists it as uncharacterized. The record is from RefSeq and is a predicted model, not a curated record. NCBI's taxonomy places the organism in Eukaryota, Metazoa, Arthropoda, Insecta, Diptera, Drosophilidae. The transcript has 3 exons.
CAACUCACGUGGAAUGCAGGUCCUUGUAGAUGGCCUCGUCCGAAUGGGAACGCUCCGUGGGCGAAAGCUGUAGAUUGAAGCCACUGAAAUGAAAUUCCGAUUCAGCACAUUGAAAUGAACAUGUAUAUAUUUGCAAACUGGAUGGAAUGAUUUACUUCAUGGAAUUUUGGAAACCAUUCCGUGCAGUUGUGUUUCCACAAUGAGUUUCCCUUUGAACCACCAGUUGCUCGGACUGGCAAUUCGAUUCUGAAUGGGAUGAACAGAAGACCCACUUGUUUGCUAGUCGGAAUGGUUAACUGGGUAUCAAAGUGGUCAAUCGGAUCACUCACAUAAGAU